Molecule: long non-coding RNA, 1713 nt
Filed under: Homo sapiens (human)
Lineage: Eukaryota; Metazoa; Chordata; Mammalia; Primates; Hominidae
Description: HSALNT0352867
Source: RNAcentral
ACUACCACUUCCUCCACUGCACAGCUAGGGAAUCUGGGUGUUUAGGUAACCUGUCGCAGGUCACUCAGCAGAAUCAGGCUUGAAUCCAGACAGUGUGAUUCCAAAGCCCAUACCCCUCACCACUUCUCGAAGCAUUCUACUAAUUUCUGUCAGAACUAUGGGUCAUUUAGAAAAGUGUUCUUUUCCGGGCACCGCGAGGAACCUGGCCUCCCUGUGGCUCCCAGUUGCCCACAGGGCUGAGCCUGCUGGGAAACCCAAGCCGCUGGCCACUGGCGACAGACACAGCAGCACUGCCUGGGAAUUGUGAAGUUACUUACCUCCAUGUACACAUCGAGCUCCCAGACUCAGGUAAGACCACAUCCCCUGACCCUUCCAAGGGAUGCAUUUAUUUUCAUGGUUACACAGAAGUGAGGAGCUCUCAGACUCUCUGAGAGAACUGCUGAACUUAGCAAUGUAAACUCAAAGCAAAAUGAAUAGGUGCUGAUCUAAGCUUUCCUUCUCUUAUACUUACUCAUACUCUAAUGUGUACAGAGUAGGAAAUUUUGGAAACUUGGGAGUAAAACCUGCUUCAUUAAAUAUUUCUUUAGGGUUACUGGGAACUAAAAGUUUGGUGAAAAUUUCUCUGGAAGCGCUUAGGGUCAUUUUAAAUAAAUUAUGAAUUGAUUAGCAGAUAUGCUGAAUUUGUUAGAUGCCUAUAUCAAGGGCUUCCGUUGGAAAGAAGCUGUCCUGUUUCUGCAGAUUUUUCUGAGAGAAUGUGAAUGAUGACAUCUGACUGUUGCAGCAGGCAAUAGCGCGUGGGUUCCCCAGACCCGUGUGUCCACCUUCAACCAGUUCCUUCACUUCUUCAAACCUCAGCGUCUCUGUAAAAAGUUGGGGCAUUAACAUUCCUCGCCUAAGGUUACUGCAAAGAUCAAAUGACAUCAUGUCUGUGAAAAUGUCUCGCACAGGCACUGGAAGAGUAGACAUUUCAUAAAUGGUAGUUUUAUUUAAUUUCAUGUCAUUUUAAGGGAGGGGCAGAUGUAAAAGCUUGUUAUUGAGAAAUAAGGAAACAGAAGCCACAAAUUUGUGGUCUGCAAUUUUUCCUUCACAUGAGAAAACUGUUCACCAAAGCUAUAUUUGCAAACAGGAAUACCAGAAUCUUUUACAAUAUUUCUCCCACUAAAACCUCAACUUUUAGUAAUUGGACACUUCAAAGUUUGGCUAUACAAUCUUUUCCUGCAAUAUACAUAUUUACAAUAUAAAAAUCAAGACAAAAAAUACACAGUCUGAGUCAAUAGGGAAGGCAGAUAAUCAGAUGUAAAUGUUAGGUUCCACAGCCUAUCAGAAAAGAAAUCAUCAUUUACAAAGAUGAUAAAUAUAGUGCUCACAAUAAGAAAAUUAGUAAAUCAGAAACUCUACACAAUAAAAAACAUUUAUGAAGAAGGCUUAUGUGGAAAAAUUACAUUUCCAUCUUUAAAAUUAUCUGCAAAUUACCUAAAAUUUCGUUUUCAGCAUUAUUUCCUUUUUUUUUUUUUUUUUUUUUUUUUGAGAUGGAGUCUGUCUCCAUUGCCCAGGCUGGAGUGCAAUGGCGCAAUCUUCGUUCACUGCAACCUCCGCCUCCCGGGUUCAAGCGAUUCUCCUGCCUUAGCCUCCCAAGUAGUUGGGAUUACAGGCACCCGCCACCAUGCCCAGCUAGUUUUUUUUUUUUUUUUUUUUUUUCCUAGUAGAGACAGG